UACAGAGGGUGCAAGCGUUAAUCGGAAUUACUGGGCGUAAAGCGUGCGUAGACGGUUAUUUAAGUCAGGUGUGAAAGCCCAGGGCUCAACCUUGGAAUUGCAUUUGAGACUGAAUAGCUAGGGUGCGGAAGAGGGAAGCGGAAUUUCCGGUGUAGCGGUGAAAUGCGUAGAUAUCGGAAGGAACACCAGUGGCGAAAGCGGCUUCCUGGUCCAGCACCGACGUUCAGGCACGAAAGCUGGGGGAGCAAACCGG
This 253-nucleotide ribosomal RNA is filed under the name uncultured bacterium. RNAcentral describes it as "partial 16S ribosomal RNA". It matches the Rfam family "Bacterial small subunit ribosomal RNA", at positions 524 to 776 of the family's 1533-position model. The record is from RNAcentral.